This 18-nucleotide small nuclear RNA is filed under the name Arabidopsis thaliana (thale cress). RNAcentral describes it as "snRNA_07438". The record is from RNAcentral. Lineage: Eukaryota; Viridiplantae; Streptophyta; Magnoliopsida; Brassicales; Brassicaceae.
GGGAGAGACGAGCGGAGA